This 219-nucleotide long non-coding RNA is filed under the name Nicotiana benthamiana. RNAcentral's name for it is "long non-coding RNA (NBEN_LNC000572)". Lineage: Eukaryota; Viridiplantae; Streptophyta; Magnoliopsida; Solanales; Solanaceae. The record is from RNAcentral.
UUGGCUAAGUAGUCAUUUAACCCCUUAAGCUGCUGCUUAACUGCCUUCAAUUUACUCCAAAUAUGCUGCAUAUGAGUGCCAGGAUAAACCUUCUCCUAGACUUGUUUCACAAUUUCAUGAAACUGCUCAUGUUCCAUUACAUUGCUAUAUAGUCUAAAAGGUUUAGGGUGUAAUGGCCUAUAUAUACCAAAUUUAACUAGGAUAGGGGAGUGAUCUGAA